RNAcentral lists this ribosomal RNA (250 nucleotides) under uncultured bacterium. RNAcentral describes it as "partial 16S ribosomal RNA". It matches the Rfam family "Bacterial small subunit ribosomal RNA", at positions 524 to 774 of the family's 1533-position model. The record is from RNAcentral.
UACGUAGGUGGCGAGCGUUGUCCGGAAUUACUGGGUGUAAAGGGAGCGUAGGCGGGGAUGCAAGUCAGGCGUUAAAUCUAUCGGCUUAACCGGUAGCUGCGCUUGAAACUGUGUCUCUUGAGUGAAGUAGAGGCAGGCGGAAUUCCUAGUGUAGCGGUGAAAUGCGUAGAUAUUAGGAGGAACACCAGUGGCGAAGGCGGCCUGCUGGGCUUUUACUGACGCUGAGGCUCGAAAGUGUGGGUAGCAAACA